Molecule: ribosomal RNA, 322 nt
Filed under: uncultured eukaryote
Lineage: Eukaryota
Description: partial 18S ribosomal RNA
Rfam family: Eukaryotic small subunit ribosomal RNA
Source: RNAcentral
CCCUUAGAUGUUCUGGGCCGCACGCGUGCUACACUGAGUGGAUCAGCGGGUCAGGUUGCGCGAAAGUGUUUCCUAAUCUUGAAAUCCGCUCGUGAUGGGGAUUGACGGUUGCAAUUUUCCGUCAUGAACGAGGAAUACCUUGUAAGCGCAGGUCAUCAUCCCGCGCUGAAUACGUCCCUGCCCUUUGUACACACCGCCCGUCGCUCCUACCGAUUGAGUGGUCCGGUGAGGCUUUGGGAUCUGAGCAAAGAGAGCGUUUCGCUCGUUUUGCCCGGAAAACUCAGUCGAACCUUAUCAUUUAGAGGAAGGAGAAGUCGUAACA